UUGUGACACACGGAACUAUUUAUCGGGAAUAUGGCGCCCGGGCUCAUAUUAGCGGUCGGACACAGAAACAUUCUCUCUCGUUUGUGCUUAUUUAACAAUCUUUGUUCAAAUAUUCUGAUUAUAGUCACCUGGAAUUGGUGUGUGUGGUGGUGCAGUCACUAGCUGAGGGAGCUGCAAUUCAUACUUACCUGGCAGGGGAGAUACCAUGAUCAAGAAGGUGGUUCACCCAGGGCGAGGCUCAGCCAUUGCACUCCGGCUGUGCUGACCCCUGCGAAUUCCCCAAAUGUGGGAAUCUCGACUGCAUAAUUUGUGGUAGUGGGGGACUGCGUUCGCGCUCUCCCCUGAUA
Molecule: long non-coding RNA, 347 nt
Organism: Tachysurus fulvidraco (yellow catfish)
Lineage: Eukaryota; Metazoa; Chordata; Actinopteri; Siluriformes; Bagridae
Exons: 2
Source: RefSeq, a predicted model, not a curated record